Tripterygium wilfordii is the source of this 370-nucleotide long non-coding RNA. RefSeq lists it as uncharacterized. The transcript has 3 exons. Lineage: Eukaryota; Viridiplantae; Streptophyta; Magnoliopsida; Celastrales; Celastraceae. The record is from RefSeq and is a predicted model, not a curated record.
UAUGCUAGACAGAUGUGAGGUGAUAUUCUUGAGUGAGUUUGUACGAGUCGUUAAGGAGACUGACUUGGAUUCUGCUGGUCAACGCUUGCACAGGUUCAAGUCCUGAUUGGUAAAAUUCCUGAUUCUCGAAAGGCAAAAGCUUUUGAAACAGGUUCAACUGCCAGUGAUUCGGCAUCCCCUGCUGAUGAUUCUGAGCUUGAGACGUUAGAAGAGCAAGCCUCGAAAUUAUGAAAGCAUGAUGAAUUGUUGAGUUUGUUCAUUUUGGUUUGAUACUAUUCAUAUAACAAUCAAACGUUGCAAGCUGCACUUAUCAGGUUAAAUCUUCUAUUGCAUAUAUGCACACAACUCAUUUGCAGAUUCAAAUGACAUA